RNAcentral lists this ribosomal RNA (731 nucleotides) under uncultured bacterium. RNAcentral describes it as "bacterial SSU rRNA". It matches the Rfam family "Bacterial small subunit ribosomal RNA", at positions 771 to 1501 of the family's 1533-position model. The record is from RNAcentral.
AACAGGAUUAGAUACCCUGGUAGUCCAUGCCGUAAACGAUGAGUGCUAGGUGUUGGAGGGUUUCCGCCCUUCAGUGCCGGAGCUAACGCAUUAAGCACUCCGCCUGGGGAGUACGACCGCAAGGUUGGAACUCAAAGGAAUUGACGGGGGCCCGCACAAGCGGUGGAGCAUGUGGUUUAAUUCGAAGCUACGCGAAGAACCUUACCAGGUCUUGACAUCUUGCGCCAACCCUAGAGAUAGGGCGUUUCCUUCGGGAACGCAAUGACAGGUGGUGCAUGGUCGUCGUCAGCUCGUGUCGUGAGAUGUUGGGUUAAGUCCCGCAACGAGCGCAACCCUUGUUACUAGUUGCCAGCAUUAAGUUGGGCACUCUAGUGAGACUGCCGGUGUCAAACCGGAGGAAGGUGGGGACGACGUCAGAUCAUCAUGCCCCUUAUGACCUGGGCUACACACGUGCUACAAUGGACGGUACAACGAGUCGCGAACUCGCGAGGGCAAGCAAAUCUCUUAAAACCGUUCUCAGUUCGGACUGCAGGCUGCAACUCGCCUGCACGAAGUCGGAAUCGCUAGUAAUCGCGGAUCAGCAUGCCGCGGUGAAUACGUUCCCGGGCCUUGUACACACCGCCCGUCACACCAUGAGAGUUUGUAACACCCAAAGUCGGUGGGGUAACCUUUUAGGAGCCAGCCGCCUAAGGUGGGACAGAUGAUUAGGGUGAAGUCGUAACAAGGUAACC